GUGCACUUGUAGUAGUCGUGUG
RNAcentral lists this non-coding RNA (22 nucleotides) under Arabidopsis thaliana (thale cress). Lineage: Eukaryota; Viridiplantae; Streptophyta; Magnoliopsida; Brassicales; Brassicaceae. The record is from RNAcentral.